AUGAUGCAACGUUGAAAGUUGGCCUUUGGCUAACACUGUAGGAUGGGCCCGCGGCGCAUUAGCUAGUUGGUAAGGUAACGGCUUACCAAGGCCACGAUGCGUAGCCGACCUGAGAGGGUGAUCGGCCACACUGGGACUGAGACACGGCCCAGACUCCUACGGGAGGCAGCAGUAGGGAAUCUUCCGCAAUGGACGAAAGUCUGACGGAGCAACGCCGCGUGAGUGACGAAGGCCUUCGGGUCGUAAAGCUCUGUUGUUAGGGAAGAACAAGUACCGUUCGAAUAGGGCGGUACCUUGACGGUACCUAACCAGAAAGCCACGGCUAACUACGUGCCAGCAGCCGCGGUAAUACGUAGGUGGCAAGCGUUGUCCGGAAUUAUUGGGCGUAAAGCGCGCGCAGGCGGUCUCUUAAGUCUGAUGUGAAAGCCCACGGCUCAACCGUGGAGGGCCAUUGGAAACUGGGGGACUUGAGUGCAGAAGAGGAGAGUGGAAUUCCACGUGUAGCGGUGAAAUGCGUAGAUAUGUGGAGGAACACCAGUGGCGAAGGCGGCUCUCUGGUCUGUAACUGACGCUGAGGCGCGAAAGCGUGGGGAGCGAACAGGAUUAGAUACCCUGGUAGUCCACGCCGUAAACGAUGAGUGCUAGGUGUUGGGGGGUUCCACCCUCAGUGCUGAAGUUAACACAUUAAGCACUCCGCCUGGGGAGUACGACCGCAAGGUUGAAACUCAAAGGAAUUGACGGGGGCCCGCACAAGCAGUGGAGCAUGUGGUUUAAUUCGAAGCAACGCGAAGAACCUUACCAGGUCUUGACAUCCUCUGCCACUCCUAGAGAUAGGACGUUCCCCUUCGGGGGACAGAGUGACAGGUGGUGCAUGGUUGUCGUCAGCUCGUGUCGUGAGAUGUUUGGGUUAAGUCCCGCAACGAGCGCAACCCUUGAUCUUAGUUGCCAGCAUUAGUUGGGCACUCUAAGGUGACUGCCGGUGAC
This 984-nucleotide ribosomal RNA is filed under the name Bacillus sp. (in: firmicutes). RNAcentral describes it as "bacterial SSU rRNA". It matches the Rfam family "Bacterial small subunit ribosomal RNA", at positions 189 to 1159 of the family's 1533-position model. Lineage: Bacteria; Bacillati; Bacillota; Bacilli; Caryophanales; Bacillaceae. The record is from RNAcentral.